This 433-nucleotide ribosomal RNA is filed under the name uncultured bacterium. Its description in RNAcentral is "partial 16S ribosomal RNA". It matches the Rfam family "Bacterial small subunit ribosomal RNA", at positions 29 to 507 of the family's 1533-position model. The record is from RNAcentral.
AACGAACGCUGGCGGCAUGCCUAACACAUGCAAGUCGAACGAGACCUUCGGGUAUAGUGGCGCACGGGUGCGUAACGCGUGGGAACCUGCCCUUAGGUUCGGAAUAACUCCCCGAAAGGGGUGCUAAUACCGGAUAAUGUCUUCGGACCAAAGAUUUAUCGCCUUUGGAUGGGCCCGCGUUGGAUUAGCUAGUUGGUAGGGUAAAAGCCUACCAAGGCGACGAUCCAUAGCUGGUCUGAGAGGAUGAUCAGCCACACUGGGACUGAGACACGGCCCAGACUCCUACGGGAGGCAGCAGUGGGGAAUAUUGGACAAUGGGCGAAAGCCUGAUCCAGCAAUGCCGCGUGAGUGAUGAAGGCCUUAGGGUUGUAAAGCUCUUUUACCCGGGAUGAUAAUGACAGUACCGGGAGAAUAAGCUCCGGCUGACUCCGUG